GUGCACGCUGGCGGUAGGCCUAACCCAUGCAAGUCGAACGGCAGCACAGUAAGAGCUUGCUCUUACGGGUGGCGAGUGGCGGACGGGUGAGGAAUACAUCGGAAUCUACUUUUUCGUGGGGGAUAACGUAGGGAAACUUACGCUAAUACCGCAUACGACCUACGGGUGAAAGCAGGGGAUCUUCGGACCUUGCGCGAUUGAAUGAGCCGAUGUCGGAUUAGCUAGUUGGCGGGGUAAUGGCCCACCAAGGCGACGAUCCGUAGCUGGUCUGAGAGGAUGAUCAGCCACACUGGAACUGAGACACGGUCCAGACUCCUACGGGAGGCAGCAGUGGGGAAUAUUGGACAAUGGGCGCAAGCCUGAUCCAGCCAUACCGCGUGGGUGAAGAAGGCCUUCGGGUUGUAAAGCCCUUUUGUUGGGAAAGAAAAGCAGCAGGUUAAUACCCCGCUGUUCUGACGGUACCCAAAGAAUAAGCACCGGCUAACUUCGUG
This 491-nucleotide ribosomal RNA is filed under the name uncultured bacterium. RNAcentral describes it as "partial 16S ribosomal RNA". It matches the Rfam family "Bacterial small subunit ribosomal RNA", at positions 29 to 507 of the family's 1533-position model. The record is from RNAcentral.